Long non-coding RNA from Gambusia affinis (western mosquitofish), 1932 nucleotides. RefSeq lists it as uncharacterized. The record is from RefSeq and is a predicted model, not a curated record. NCBI's taxonomy places the organism in Eukaryota, Metazoa, Chordata, Actinopteri, Cyprinodontiformes, Poeciliidae. The transcript is spliced from 3 exons.
UUAAAUCUCUCAUCAGGCGAGUUGUGGCUUACAGGGAAAUCUGUCAGCGAGUUUCUCACAAAACAGAGUGACACACUGCAAAAUGUUCUGACCAUCCGGCGACUGAUAAGCGAGGUCUUAUAGCCCUUUCUCUCCAUUCAUCAUGCAGCUCCCAGGUGCUGAAUGCAGGUUUUAGAGUCUGAGGAAAGGGCAGCUAAGAUCCCUGCAGACCCCACACAUCCUGGACACAAACUGUUUGGACUUUUACCUCCAGGUCUGUGCUACACAGUGCUAUUUGCAACAACCAAAUGCCAUACAUGCAUUUUUUACUCUAUUAUCCAUGUCUUCCUUCUUGUAAAAACACUGUCUGUAUGCAGUGUUUUCACAAAACCUUUUCUUUUUCUUUUUAGAUAUUUACAUUUAAAAUGUUUUCAUUGAAAGAAAAGUCAAACAGAAGUCUAAUUCUAUUUCUGUGGACACAAACUCAACAAAUAAAGCUGAUUCUGUUUAAGUCUACAUAGUCACAAUGUACAUAAUUGUUUUGUCCAGGUGUAGAGGUUUGUGUGGUUCAAUACUACUCUGAGUUUAAAUUAUUCCAAGGUUCAUUUGCAGCCGUUGAACCUUGAGCACACCACUUUUACUCAUUACAUUGCUAUAACAUGAGCAAGCAGCCAAGACAGCUUUUGUUCAUUUUUAACUAAAAGCUGACAUAAAAGUGGUGUGUAACUUAUUUCCAUAUUUCUCUUGCAGUGGCAACAGGAAAUGACAUGCAUAUUAAUCUGAAGUAUCUAAUCUAAAGCAUUGUAGCUGUACUAGAAGAUCUUUACUGAAUCUAGGUACAUUCACCAGAGACGAUGUUUCUCACAGGAAGAUCAUGGGUGGCGCACCGCCUCCUACCUUCAUUUCCUGUGUAAAUAAUCAUCCUGUCCAAAAAGGACUAGUUUGUGUCCAUAAAAUACCCACAGUGGUGUUAUUUAAGUUUUACAGUUGGAGCUCAAAGUUCAGUUUAUUAUGGGGUUUGUCUCAGACUCGCCGUUAGCUUUAGCUUCCCUUUAAAUGACGUUGCUUUCUAUUUCCGCAUUGACAACAGAGACGUCAGUCAGCCUCCGGCGCCCGUUUCCAUCAAUCAGAAUCACAUCGACAUUACGUGCCGCAAAGUCAAACAGUUGUCCCCUCGCUGAACGAAUUGGCAGUCGAAGCAGACAGACGAGAUCGCAUGUCAGGAAUGCUAAUUCACUGGGAGGCUGGAUCUCGAGUGGUCGUGAUUAAAGACUCAAUUUCCCAGAGGUCAGUGUGGUGUGAUCACAUAUUACCGCUAACUGAUGGAGUGUCUCUGACACCUGCACUCCGAUGGCGAGCGGCGGCAUCACAACCUGUGGAAGCAGGAUGCCUGAUGGGAGUCCUGUCACACAUUAAGCCGCUGAGUUCUUAAGCAGCUGUGUUAUUCCAUCGUGCUCCUCCGUCAUGCCGUUGUUUAUGUACAAAAGCGUGAGGGAGAGCGGCUGCUGUUCGAGCGGCUUAGCCCCGAAAUGCUGCCAUCCAGCAUUAUCUUCACACAGCAGAAAGCCGCGUCACGCCUCACCCACAACGAGCGGACGGCUUUAUAAAGUGCCGCCUUUUAUGGCAGCUCUGUUGCUACAAUGUCAGUAUUUAAAUGCAAUUACUUUGAAUGUGUAUCUUAGUUAACCAGCGUCUUUCAGAAGCAGUCAGCUGUCAUUACUUCAGCAAGCUUCCCUGGAACAGUUACAUUUAAGAAAAUAUUGUGCAUCAUGAACCAGUUGAAUAUUUUUAAAAAGUGAGAUCAGUGUAUCAUUAGGAUUUACUACAAAUACAGUGAAAUAUUUCAAGCUUUUAUUUUGAUGAUUGUGGCUCCCAUAGUGAAAACCCAAAAUUCAGUCUCAGAAAAUUUGAAUAGUGUCAAUUUUAGCAAUACUGCACAUAAAAAUUACAGUU